UGGGGAAUAUUGGACAAUGGGCGCAAGCCUGAUCCAGCCAUGCCGCGUGAGUGACGAAGGCCUUAGGGUUGUAAAGCUCUUUUGGCGGGGAAGAUAAUGACGGUACCCGCAGAAUAAGCUCCGGCUAACUUCGUGCCAGCAGCCGCGGUAAUACGAAGGGAGCUAGCGUUGUUCGGAAUUACUGGGCGUAAAGCGCACGUAGGCGGAUUGAUAAGUUAGAGGUGAAAUCUCGGGGCUCAACCUCGGAACUGCCUUUGAUACUGUUAGUCUCGAGUCCGAUAGAGGUGAGUGGAAUUCCUAGUGUAGAGGUGAAAUUCGUAGAUAUUAGGAAGAACACCAGUGGCGAAGGCGGCUCACUGGAUCGGUACUGACGCUGAGGUGCGAAAGCGUGGGGAGCAAACAGGAUUAGAUACCCUAGUAGUCCCUGAGCGGGCUGGCAAGGCGCAU
This 447-nucleotide ribosomal RNA is filed under the name uncultured bacterium. Its description in RNAcentral is "bacterial SSU rRNA". It matches the Rfam family "Bacterial small subunit ribosomal RNA", at positions 355 to 825 of the family's 1533-position model. The record is from RNAcentral.